This is a non-coding RNA of Talpa occidentalis (Iberian mole), 77 nucleotides long. NCBI's taxonomy places the organism in Eukaryota, Metazoa, Chordata, Mammalia, Eulipotyphla, Talpidae. The record is from the annotation of a RefSeq genome assembly.
GCUCUACCAGCUAGCUCAGUCGGUAGAGCAUGAGACUCUUAAUCUCAGGGUCGUGGAUUCGAGCCCCACGUUGGGCA